This 708-nucleotide ribosomal RNA is filed under the name uncultured Ascomycota. RNAcentral describes it as "SSU rRNA". It matches the Rfam family "Eukaryotic small subunit ribosomal RNA", at positions 404 to 1125 of the family's 1831-position model. Lineage: Eukaryota; Fungi; Ascomycota. The record is from RNAcentral.
AACGGCUACCACAUCCAAGGAAGGCAGCAGGCGCGCAAAUUACCCAAUCCUGAUACAGGGAGGUAGUGACAAUAAAUACUGAUACAGGGCUCUUUUGGGUCUUGUAAUUGGAAUGAGUACAAUUUAAAUCCCUUAACGAGGAACAAUUGGAGGGCAAGUCUGGUGCCAGCAGCCGCGGURAUUCCAGCUCCAAUAGCGUAUAUUAAAGUUGUUGCAGUUAAAAAGCUCGUAGUUGAACCUUGGGCCUGGUUGGCCGGUCCGCCUCACCGCGUGCACUGGUCCGACCGGGCCUUUCCUCCUGGGGAGCCGCAUGCCCUUCACUGGGUGUGUCGGGGAACCAGGACUUUUACUUUGAAAAAAUUAGAGUGUUCAAAGCAGGCCUAUGCUCGAAUACAUUAGCAUGGAAUAAUAGAAUAGGACGUGUGGUUCUAUUUUGUUGGUUUCUAGGACCGCCGUAAUGAUUAAUAGGGAUAGUCGGGGGCAUCAGUAUUCAAUUGUCAGAGGUGAAAUUCUUGGAUUUAUUGAAGACUAACUACUGCGAAAGCAUUUGCCAAGGAUGUUUUCAUUAAUCAGUGAACGAAAGUUAGGGGAUCGAAGACGAUCAGAUACCGUCGUAGUCUUAACCAUAAACUAUGCCGACUAGGGAUCGGGCGAUGUUAUCUUUUUGACUCGCUCGGCACCUUACGAGAAAUCAAAGUCUUUGGGUUC